Molecule: non-coding RNA, 3617 nt
Organism: Sus scrofa (pig)
Lineage: Eukaryota; Metazoa; Chordata; Mammalia; Artiodactyla; Suidae
Source: RefSeq, a predicted model, not a curated record
GUGGCCAGAGCCCAAGGAGCAAGAGGGAGAUAAGAGGGCGGGAAGGAGGCGCUGGACCAAGGAGGGCCCUCGGCUAUUUUAGGAAUUAAAAAAAGAGACCCAGCGAUCCCUAGAGAAUUUUGAGCUGAUAAAUGUCAGAAUCUGACUUGUAGUUGAAAAGGCUCAGGGCUGGCUGCUUUUUGACGGUGCAACUGAGGGUCCAAAAGCGGAAAGAGGGGCCUGGUUAGGAGGUUACUGAGCAGUGCAGGAGAGGGUCUCCAAAGGCUUCGCUUCGACCCAGCAGUGGUGGGGGCUGGGGUGCAGGGGUGCGAAGACGCAUUGGAGGCAGAGCAGAUAGAAGUCACUCUGCACAGGCUGCAAGCAGAGGAGGAAGAAACAGAACAGUUAAGGUCAACUUCAAGGCCUUCGCCUUGAGAACUGGAGGAAGUUAACAUUUCCUGGAAUAGAAAGAUCCCAAGAAGGCAAGUUUUAGGUCAUCUCUUUUAAUCUAAUGCUCUGCCUCUCUCUGUGUGUGUGUCUCCACUUGUAAUUUAUCACUUACCUGUUGAAAAACUAGUUUGUACGAUCUACUUCCUUUUCCAUAGCAUGGAUUUUGCUAAGUCCGGGAGGUGUUGGAACAAAUGGCCCUCACACUCAGGGCUGCAGAUCAUUGGAGCAUCAGACCAGAGGACAAAGGAUGGACCAUAGCAUAGCAUCUCAUGAUUUGCAGAUACAGCCUACGGCAGUGGGCUGCAACCCAGAGAAAUAUUCAUUUCCAGAGACUCCAUGGACCAGAUAGGCAUCAUCACCAACAGCUCCGAGUAUUUGAGCUGUAUGUCUCCUACUAAUGCAAGAUGUGAGGCUGUUGAACACCCCAGGUGGACAUGGUUCGACUGAAGGAACUUGGCUCCUCCCACCGCUGAUAGAAAGUGGGUCUCUUCAAGAUCUGCCAUGGUUUCAGCUUUGGGACAACACUUGGCUCAGUCUACAAAGGCAGGAACCAGAUGUCUUCAUGAACUGCCAGGAGGUACCAUCACGGGAGUAAAAGAUGAGGAAAAAGCAAGGAGAAGCUUCCUGUGUAUGGCUUGCUACCAAGAGAGGUCCAUUUGCAGAGUACCCAGCAGAGGAAAGGCUCGAUGUGGAAAAUUGUGGAUUUUAAAUAGUUUUAUGUGUGGUGUUGAUGGUGUCCAGUUUUCUUGGCACUAUUUAUAGAGGGGACUGUCCUUUCUCCAUUUUGUGUUCUUGGCACCUUUGUUGUGAAUUAACUGACAACAUACAGAUGGGUUUGCUUCUGUGCUCUCUAUUCUGUUUCUCUUGCCCAUGUACCUGGUUUUGUGCCAGUGCCACACAGUUUCGGUUACUGUAGCUUCAUACUGUAGUGUGAAGUUACAGAGGAAGAUGCUGCCAGCUGUGUUCUUCCUCAGGUAGCUUAGGCUAUUCAGGCUAUUAUUAUGUAACUAUUUUUGGAGAUGUCAUGGAAUAUUUGGCUCCAUUUCAGUUUGAAUUUCCAAAUUUAGUGGUUCCUGCAGGCUUGUCAGCUGGGAGCGUGGGCUCUACCCAUCUGAGGUUGUGGCCUGCACUUCCCAACUGGCCAGCAGGUGGCGUCAGGCUUCUUUGCUAUUCUAUACAUGUGGUAGGACUGUUCUGUUUCUGUGAACUAUGCCGUUAGAAUAUUGAAGGGAUUACAUUGAAUGCAUAUACUGCUUUUGUUGCUGAAUUAAGUUGUAUGUACCCGCCCUUGGGGGUCCUGUAACAAAUUUGGGUGAGCCAGCCAGGAGGGCAGUCUUAGAUCCACCAUUCUGCCCAGUAAUUCAGCUAGGACUCUUGCUUGCUGACCUAGGGCUGACAAAACAAGCUAAAUAGCUGGGUAGUUUGCCUCAAUCCUUGACCUAUGAGGUCAAUGAGGGCUACUGAAUUCAGUUGGAGAUCAGAAAGCAGCCAAGGGUUAGGUGGAGUGCUCUCCGCAUCCUGGCAUAUCUACAACAAGGAAGCUUAUUACAGAUUGGGGUAGUGUCCAGGGGAUGAUUGGCAUAGGGGGAACUGACCCCAAUUUGGCUCAUCUGGCUGAGGUUGGUUGUAGAGGUUGGCUGGUUAAGGGCAAGGAUCCUGGCCUGGUUGGACUCUGGUCUAGAGGACUGAACUGGGUGACUUGUCUAAAUAUAGCUGAUCCUCUGCUAGUGGAUGUGACUGAAUAAUAACAAUUGGUUGUCUGGUUGGACCAGUUCCUGGCAAGGGGACUAGGCUGGAUGAGAAGCCCUUGGAAGGUCACCAAGUGGUAUGAACAUAUCUUUGUUUUCCAUGUAUGUUGUAAGUUCUAGCUUCUGUUCCUUUUUUUUUGGCCACCCCAUGGUAUAUAGAGUUCCUUGGCCAGGGACCAGAUCUGAGCCACAGUUGUGACCUAAGCUGAAGCUGCAGGAACAGUGGAUUCUUAACACACUGCACCAGGCCAGUAAUCUAACCUGUGUCCCAGCCAGCAGAGGGACCAGAGUGGGAACUCUCCUGUUCUUGGUAUGAUUGAAGCUUCAAUCUCUGUUCUAUGUGGUCUUGUCUGUCCUAUUGCUCUUCGAAGUCUUUGCUGCACAUGUGGGUGCAAGUCAAGCACCUAAAAGCCACUAGGACACUGGAAGACUGCCACGAAAGGAGAAGUCAGUCACAGACCAGGGUAUGUGAGCACUAGGCACCCUGCCGACUGGAAGGAAGUGUCUGUGUAAGGAAGCACACUGUGAAAUGCUCACAGCUCCCCAAACCCCUGCUGCAGUCUCACCUUUAGGAUACAGUCAAAAAAAUCCAAGAGCACAUCCUUUGUGUUGUUCUGUGUUACCUCCAUUUGCCAUUCCAGGGCAGGGUAUGUGUCUCUCUUGGGUAGGGCUCUCCCAACUCCCCUCCAUUGCAGAUCCCUGAAAGAUUCCCUCCUUAGAUAUGAAACCUUUAAAGAUACUGUUUUUUGCCAGAUUUCAGGAACAUUACUUUGAUUGGUGGGGAAAGAAGAGAACACCCAAAUCAGCCAGAGUCCUUGGGUCCCUGUAGCUGAGUGUAUAGAUAACUGGAUACAUGCCAAAUGGGCAUUUGGCUUCUCUGCCUGAUUACCUACAACCAUAUGGGACAAGCCCUGUUUAAACAAGUCUCGACUGCCACAGACGCUCUCCCGGCAUUUGUUUGGCCAGAGAACCCUGUUUCCCACCCCCUCCUUCACCCUACCUCCAGGGACUGCACCCCCUUAUACUAGGUAUCUCCAAAGCCCCACAGUGGGUCUGGGAACAUCUAAUCAGUGACUUAAGAGGGGACCUUAUAACUCGGACCCUCUUAGCAUUUCCCCUCACAGCCCCCAUAAAGAUUGGUUCAUGUUUCAGUGAGGGUGCCUAGACCACUUGGUGUGUCCUAGAUCUUAUGGGAUCUGCAUCACAACCAACCCUAGGAGGAGGCCAUUGGGAAGCUGGAAACAAACUAAAAAUACCCCAUAGGGGUAACCAAGCCUCUGUCCCAGGAUGCAUCCUCCAUAACUGGAAAUAACGACUCACUAACAAACAGCUUCUUCUCUUUUACAGCACCCCUAUGAACAGUUAUAUGGCAACAAAUUUGACAACCUAGAAGAAGAGGACAACUUUCUAGAGAUGUACAGCCCACAAAAACUGAAUCAA